Molecule: transfer RNA, 73 nt
Filed under: Candidatus Nanoarchaeia archaeon
Lineage: Archaea; Nanobdellati; Nanobdellota; Candidatus Nanoarchaeia
Also listed under: 1 other name
Description: tRNA-Gly
Rfam family: tRNA
About the family: Transfer RNA (tRNA) molecules are approximately 80 nucleotides in length. Their secondary structure includes four short double-helical elements and three loops (D, anti-codon, and T loops).
Source: RNAcentral
GCGUCGAUGGUGUAGUCUGGUAUCAUUCUGGCCUUCCAAGCCGGUGACCCGGGUUCAAAUCCCGGUCGGCGCA